GUAGGGACCAAGCGUUGUUCGGAUUUACUGGGCGUAAAGGGCGCGUAGGCGGCGCUGUAAGUCACUUGUGAAAUCUCCGGGCUUAACUCGGAACGGCCAAGUGAUACUGCAGUGCUAGAGUGCAGAAGGGGCAAUCGGAAUUCUUGGUGUAGCGGUGAAAUGCGUAGAUAUCAAGAGGAACACCUGAGGUGAAGACGGGUUGCUGGGCUGACACUGACGCUGAGGCGCGAAAGCCAGGGGAGCAAACGGGACUAGAUACCCCGGUAGUCCUGGCCCUAAACGAUGAAUACUUGGUGUCUGGAGACUUAAUGCUCCGGGUGCCGUCGCUAACGUUUUUAGUAUUCCGCCUGGGGAGUACGCUCGCAAGAGUG
Molecule: ribosomal RNA, 371 nt
Filed under: uncultured bacterium
Lineage: Bacteria
Description: bacterial SSU rRNA
Rfam family: Bacterial small subunit ribosomal RNA
Source: RNAcentral